RNAcentral lists this ribosomal RNA (1597 nucleotides) under Escherichia coli. Its description in RNAcentral is "partial 23S ribosomal RNA". It matches the Rfam family "Bacterial large subunit ribosomal RNA", at positions 296 to 1888 of the family's 2925-position model. The record is from RNAcentral. Lineage: Bacteria; Pseudomonadati; Pseudomonadota; Gammaproteobacteria; Enterobacterales; Enterobacteriaceae.
AGCCCAGAGCCUGAAUCAGUGUGUGUGUUAGUGGAAGCGUCUGGAAAGGCGCGCGAUACAGGGUGACAGCCCCGUACACAAAAAUGCACAUGCUGUGAGCUCGAUGAGUAGGGCGGGACACGUGGUAUCCUGUCUGAAUAUGGGGGGACCAUCCUCCAAGGCUAAAUACUCCUGACUGACCGAUAGUGAACCAGUACCGUGAGGGAAAGGCGAAAAGAACCCCGGCGAGGGGAGUGAAAAAGAACCUGAAACCGUGUACGUACAAGCAGUGGGAGCCUCUUUAUGGGGUGACUGCGUACCUUUUGUAUAAUGGGUCAGCGACUUAUAUUCUGUAGCAAGGUUAACCGAAUAGGGGAGCCGAAGGGAAACCGAGUCUUAACUGGGCGUUAAGUUGCAGGGUAUAGACCCGAAACCCGGUGAUCUAGCCAUGGGCAGGUUGAAGGUUGGGUAACACUAACUGGAGGACCGAACCGACUAAUGUUGAAAAAUUAGCGGAUGACUUGUGGCUGGGGGUGAAAGGCCAAUCAAACCGGGAGAUAGCUGGUUCUCCCCGAAAGCUAUUUAGGUAGCGCCUCGUGAAUUCAUCUCCGGGGGUAGAGCACUGUUUCGGCAAGGGGGUCAUCCCGACUUACCAACCCGAUGCAAACUGCGAAUACCGGAGAAUGUUAUCACGGGAGACACACGGCGGGUGCUAACGUCCGUCGUGAAGAGGGAAACAACCCAGACCGCCAGCUAAGGUCCCAAAGUCAUGGUUAAGUGGGAAACGAUGUGGGAAGGCCCAGACAGCCAGGAUGUUGGCUUAGAAGCAGCCAUCAUUUAAAGAAAGCGUAAUAGCUCACUGGUCGAGUCGGCCUGCGCGGAAGAUGUAACGGGGCUAAACCAUGCACCGAAGCUGCGGCAGCGACGCUUAUGCGUUGUUGGGUAGGGGAGCGUUCUGUAAGCCUGCGAAGGUGUGCUGUGAGGCAUGCUGGAGGUAUCAGAAGUGCGAAUGCUGACAUAAGUAACGAUAAAGCGGGUGAAAAGCCCGCUCGCCGGAAGACCAAGGGUUCCUGUCCAACGUUAAUCGGGGCAGGGUGAGUCGACCCCUAAGGCGAGGCCGAAAGGCGUAGUCGAUGGGAAACAGGUUAAUAUUCCUGUACUUGGUGUUACUGCGAAGGGGGGACGGAGAAGGCUAUGUUGGCCGGGCGACGGUUGUCCCGGUUUAAGCGUGUAGGCUGGUUUUCCAGGCAAAUCCGGAAAAUCAAGGCUGAGGCGUGAUGACGAGGCACUACGGUGCUGAAGCAACAAAUGCCCUGCUUCCAGGAAAAGCCUCUAAGCAUCAGGUAACAUCAAAUCGUACCCCAAACCGACACAGGUGGUCAGGUAGAGAAUACCAAGGCGCUUGAGAGAACUCGGGUGAAGGAACUAGGCAAAAUGGUGCCGUAACUUCGGGAGAAGGCACGCUGAUAUGUAGGUGAAGCGACUUGCUCGUGGAGCUGAAAUCAGUCGAAGAUACCAGCUGGCUGCAACUGUUUAUUAAAAACACAGCACUGUGCAAACACGAAAGUGGACGUAUACGGUGUGACGCCUGCCCGGUGCCGGAAGGUUAAUUGAUGGG